UAACGCGAAGAACCUUACCUGGGUUUGACAUGCACAGGACGGCACUAGAGAUAGUGCUCCCCUUGUGGCCUGUGUGCAGGUGGUGCAUGGCUGUCGUCAGCUCGUGUCGUGAGAUGUUGGGUUAAGUCCCGCAACGAGCGCAACCCUUGUCUCAUGUUGCCAGCACGUAAUGGUGGGGACUCGUGAGAGACUGCCGGUGCCAAACCGGAGGAAGGUGGGGAUGACGUCAAGUCAUCAUGCCCCUUAUGUCCAGGGCUGCACACAUGCUACAAUGCGCGGUACAGAGGGCAGCGAUCCCGCAAGGGGGAGCGAAUCCCAAAAAGCCGCGCUCAGUUCGGAUCGGGGUCUGCAACUCGACCCCGUGAAGUCGGAGUCGCUAGUAAUCGCAGAUCAGCAAUGCUGCGGUGAAUACGUUCCCGGGUCUUGUACACACCGA
This 436-nucleotide ribosomal RNA is filed under the name uncultured bacterium. RNAcentral's name for it is "bacterial SSU rRNA". It matches the Rfam family "Bacterial small subunit ribosomal RNA", at positions 957 to 1393 of the family's 1533-position model. The record is from RNAcentral.